This 474-nucleotide ribosomal RNA is filed under the name uncultured bacterium. RNAcentral describes it as "partial 16S ribosomal RNA". It matches the Rfam family "Bacterial small subunit ribosomal RNA", at positions 28 to 507 of the family's 1533-position model. The record is from RNAcentral.
GACGAACGCUGGCGGCGUGCUUAACACAUGCAAGUCGAGCGGUAAGGCUCCUUCGGGAGUACACGAGCGGCGAACGGGUGAGUAACACGUGAGUAAUCUGCCCUUCACUUCGGGAUAACCACCGGAAACGGUGGCUAAUACCGAAUACGACCAGUCUUCGCAUGAGGUGCUGGUGGAAAGUCUUUUCGGUGAAGGAUGUGCUCGCGGCCUAUCAGCUUGUUGGUGGGGUAAUGGCCUACCAAGGCUUCGACGGGUAGCCGGCCUGAGAGGGUGACCGGCCACACUGGGACUGAGACACGGCCCAGACUCCUACGGGAGGCAGCAGUGGGGAAUAUUGGAGAAUGGGCGAAAGCCUGAUCCAGCAACGCCGCGUGAGGGAUGACGGCCUUCGGGUUGUAAACCUCGUUCAGUACCGACGAAGCGCCCUGUCGGGUGGUGACGGUAGGUACAGAAGAAGGACCGGCCAACUACGUG